Long non-coding RNA from Gadus macrocephalus (Pacific cod), 940 nucleotides. RefSeq lists it as uncharacterized. The record is from RefSeq and is a predicted model, not a curated record. NCBI's taxonomy places the organism in Eukaryota, Metazoa, Chordata, Actinopteri, Gadiformes, Gadidae. The transcript is spliced from 3 exons.
UGCAGGCCAGACACUAACAUGGCAAUGCACUUUUAUAUACCUCUUUAAGUAAACAUACCUUCAUAUAUAUAGCCUCAUGAGAGUAAUUUUCAAUAAUUGCUGAUUGUUGAGGAUAUAUCCAAAAUCUUAAAAAGAGGACGAAGGUUGUCAAGCCUACUUCUGCAAUUGAUGAAAGGUGGUAUAACUUAUUUGGUAUGUUACUGCCAGACCAAAAUAUAAUGCUUAUCUACAGCAAGUAGGAAUCAUGAAGCCCAUCUAAAGAAAAAGUGAUAUUUUGACCAACAUGCAUGUUUUACAUGAUGAACAGAAGAGUUCUAAUGGUUGCAUCGGAAGUAGGUCCCACCUAGUCAUUGAAUAUGAAGACUACUUCCGAUGACACCUCUGCACAUCCCAUGAAUCACUUUGCCCAACCUUUUAAUGUCUUGGUCGGCCUGAAGCGUUUUACGGAUCUCAACGGAACACAUUGAAUGGGGGUCUCCGAUUGUAAUGAAUGCACGCAGGCCUCCUAUUGUAAGGAGCAAAGAGCAGCCAGAGCCUGACGUCAGGCCAUCAACCCCAGCGCAAAGUCUUUCCAGGGCACUGUCGAGAGUGGGCGAGCGGCGCGUGCCCCCCUGGUCCCAGCUGCAGUCCAACUGGAUGUGGGUGCGGCAGCGUCGGUGACACGUGAACCUACAGUCUGUGGAGGAGGGCAGGAGGAGACGGAAACACAUCAACAUCUCUGAGGGCUUUGCAGAGAUCAUCUCUCUCUGGCAUAUUUUCGGUUCAGAAUCGUACAAAUUGCAUUGCAGGCUCAUCGGGCUUUAUUCCAUCACGUCUCUUCCUAAAUGUUGGGGUAACUAUUUAGCUUUAUGGUCUCAUUUGAAUUCUUGAAUGGUGAUGUCCUCAAAUCAUACUAUGCAAUACUUGCAUUGUUACACACUGAUAAAUACAUGUUGUUUUA